UACAUAACUAAAAGUUUUCCACCACUGGUGGCUUCUUUUAAUAUGCCAUUCUCUGUUUCGGGUUUCGUCAUGCCCUGCAACAUUUCAGUGACUCAUGAACUGAGCCUUAACACUCCAGGAUAAGUAUGUUGCUUAUUUCCAUGAUGUCAUCAUUCACGCUGAGGAUUGGGACUUAUCUCAGGCUGUCUUACAGUCAUUAAAGGAGGCCAUGUUAACUGUUCACACUUCUAAGAACAAACUAGAUAUUACCACAGUGAAGCAUUUUGGGUAUUUCAUAGACUGAGGAAUGGUCAGACCCUAAAUGGACAGGAAGCCAUAAGCUAAACUGAUACAUUCUGAGUGAAAGAAGUGAGGCAUUCCUAGGGUUGUUUAGGUACUACAGGAAAUUUGUGCCUCACUUUCCAGCAGUAGGAAGCCCUUCAUCUUCUUUAAUGAAAAGAAAGAUGCCCCUGUAUAUAAAUUUAAUGGUAGAAGCAGUUAAUCUUUUAAAAAAAUAAGAGAGACUACACCUAGAGCCAUUACUAGCAUCCUCCAGUUUUAUUAACUCCUUUCUAGUGUACAUAGUUCAGAAGUGGAACUGGGGGCCUUGUUGUCACAGCUCUGGGGUGGGGAAGAGCACCCAGUUUAUUUGAGAUGCAAGUUAAGAGAGGCAAGAUUAAAUAUUCCACAACUGAGAGGGAGUGUUUAUCAAUAAAAUGAGCCCUGUCUUCCUUGAAAUUUGAUUUCAAGCUGUAGAGGACAUUAAAUGAUACAGUUGUAGGUCUCACUAAGUAAAAUAGUUAAAUAAGUGUUAUAUUUAUGUAUAGAGUUUGAAAAGUAAAUAGUAUGUACACUGGUGAAAUAGUGUCUCUUUUAUAUAAAGAAUAUAGCUGAAACUUUUAUUGUAAUUAAAAACAUCCCUUUAAAUAAGAAACCUCCUGUCAUAAGCAGAAUUCCACUGGAGUUUACUAAAAGACUGGUCCUUCAGUUACAUGGGGUAUAAAGGAGGACUUUAACCCUAACUGUUAGAGAGAAGUUUGCAUUGUGUACAAAGGGGGUCAGUGCCAGGAAAGCGAGUGCUAGGAAGAUUGCCUGUCCCACAGUAAGAUGACCUAGAAGACUUUGGUGAACCUGGAGAUUUUCUGUCAAGGAAUCCAGGUGAUGGACCACACAGUCAUCCUCAGACAGCCUCUUGUUGGUAUGAGAGACCAUGUAUACAGAUACACAUGGAUGCUACAGAAAGAGAAUACAGUAAAAUGGCUACAUGAUUAAUAAAAUAAGUAACUACUAUAAAUGAAACCAUCAAGUGAAAGAGACAUGAUAUGAGAGUACAUUACUGUACGGCAGAAUUAAAUAAGGUAUUAGUAGGAAAGCACAGAGUAAUAAAGGGAAAUAAAUGAGCAUGUAGAAUAAGUGAAAGAGACAUGAUAUGAGAGUACAUUACUGUACUGCAGAAUUAAAUAAGGUAUUAGUACGAAAGCAUAGAGUAAUAAAGGGAAAUAAAUGAGUAUGUAGAAUAAGUGAAAGAGACAUUACUGUACUGCAGAAUUAAAUAAGGUAUUAGUAGGAAAGCAUAGAAUAAUAAAGGGUAAUAAAUGAGCGUGUAGAAUAAGUGAAAGAGACAUGAUAUGAGAGUACAUUACUGUACUGCAGAAUUAAAUAAGGUAUUAGUAGGAAAGCAUAGAAUAAUAAAGGGAAAUAAAUGAGCAUGUAGAAUAAGUGAAAGAGACAUGAUAUGAGAGUACAUUACUGUACUGCAGAAUUAAAUAAGGUGUUAGUAGGAAAGCAUAGAGUAAUAAAGGGAAAUAAAUGAGCGUGUAGAAUAAGUGAAAGAGACAUGAUAUGAGAGUACAUUACUGUACUGCAGAAUUAAAUAAGGUAUUAGUAGGAAAGCAUAGAGUAAUAAAGGGAAAUAAAUGAGCGUGUAGAAUAAGUGAAAGAGACAUGAUAUAAGAGUACAUUACUGUACUGCAGAAUUAAAUAAGGUAUUAGUAGGAAAGCAUAGAAUAAUAAAGGGAAAUAAAUGAGCAUGUAGAAUAAGUGAAAGAGACAUGAUAUGAGAGUACAUUACUGUACUGCAGAAUUAAAUAAGGUAUUAGUAGGAAAGCACAGAGUAAUAAAGGGAAAUAAAUGAGCGUGUAGAAUAAGUGAAAGAGACAUAUCAGAGUAUAUUACUGUACUGCAGAAUUAAAUAAGGUAUUAGUAGGAAAGCAUAGAAUAAUAAAGGGAAAUAAAUGAGUGUGUAGAAUAAGUGAAAGAGACAUGAUAUGAGAGUACAUUACUGUACUGCAGAAGUAAAUAAGGUAUUAGUAGGAAAGCAUAGAGCAAUAAAGGGAAAUAAAUGAGCAUGUAGAAUAAGUGAGAGAGACAUGAUAUGAGAGUACAUUACUGUACUGCAGAAUUAAAUAAGGUAUUAGUAGGAAAGCAUAGAGUAAUAAAGGAAAAUAAAUGAGCCUGUAGAAUAAGUGAAAGAGACAUGAUAUGAGAGUACAUUACUGUACUGCAGAAUUAAAUAAGGUAUUAGUAGGAAAGCAUAGAAUAAUAAAGGGAAAUAAAUGAGUGUGUAGAAUAAGUGAAAGAGACAUGAUAUGAGAGUGCAUUACUGUACUGCAGAAUUAAAUAAGGUAUUAGUAGGAAAGCAUAGAGUAAUAAAGGGUAAUAAAUGAGCAUGUAGAAUAAGUGAAAGAGACAUGAUAUGAGAGUACAUUACUGUACUGCAGAAUUAAAUAAGGUAUUAGUAGGAAAGCAUAGAGUAAUAAAGGGAAAUAAAUGAGCAUGUAGAAUAAGUGAAAGAGACAUGAUAUGAGAG
Molecule: long non-coding RNA, 2788 nt
Organism: Protopterus annectens (West African lungfish)
Lineage: Eukaryota; Metazoa; Chordata; Ceratodontiformes; Protopteridae
Exons: 2
Source: RefSeq, a predicted model, not a curated record